Molecule: ribosomal RNA, 537 nt
Filed under: Tuber mexiusanum
Lineage: Eukaryota; Fungi; Ascomycota; Pezizomycetes; Pezizales; Tuberaceae
Description: eukaryotic LSU rRNA
Rfam family: Eukaryotic large subunit ribosomal RNA
Source: RNAcentral
GCGGAGGAAAAGAAACCAACAGGGAUUGCCUUAGUAACGGCGAGUGAAGCGGCAAAAGCUCAAAUUUGAAAUCUGACACCUCUGGUGUUCGAGUUGUAAUUUGGAGAGGCAUCUUCUGGAGGGGCCCAGCCUAUGUGCCUUGGAACAGGACGUCAUAGAGGGUGAGAAUCCCGUACUUGGCUGGAUGUUCCCUCCUGUAUGUAGUGUCUUCUACGAGUCGAGUUGUUUGGGAAUGCAGCUCAAAAUGGGUGGUAAAUUUCAUCUAAAGCUAAAUAUUGGCGAGAGACCGAUAGCGCACAAGUAGAGUGAUCGAAAGAUGAAAAGCACUUUGAAAAUAGAGUCAAACAGUACGUGAAAUUGUUGAAAGGGAAGCGCUUAGGACCAGACCUGGGGAAUAGCAAACAAUCGCCCACCGGGGCGGUGCACUUGUUAGCUCCUCGGGCCAGCAUGGGUUGGGACGGUGGGAUAAAGACUCAGGAAAUGUGACUCCUUCGUGGAGUGUUAUAGUCCCGGGUGGCAUGCCAUCAGUCCCGACUG